This 499-nucleotide ribosomal RNA is filed under the name Halyzia sedecimguttata (orange ladybird). RNAcentral's name for it is "partial large subunit ribosomal RNA". It matches the Rfam family "Bacterial large subunit ribosomal RNA", at positions 1831 to 2600 of the family's 2925-position model. Lineage: Eukaryota; Metazoa; Arthropoda; Insecta; Coleoptera; Coccinellidae. The record is from RNAcentral.
UUUGAAAAUAAUUUAAAGUAGGGCCUGCCCACUGAGUAUUUGAAGGGCCGCAGUAUUUUGACUGUGCAAAGGUAGCAUAAUCAUUAGUUUUUUAAUUGAAAGCUUGUAUGAAUGGUUUGAUGAGAAAAUGACUUUCUAUAUCUAAAUUUUUAAGAACUUUAUUUUUAAGUUAAAAAGCUUAAAUUUUUUUAAAAGACGAGAAGACCCUAUAGAGUUUUAUUAUUUUAUUAAAUUUAUAGAAUUUAAUAAUUUUAAUUUAAACAUUAAUUUGAUUGGGGUGAUUGAAAAAUUUAAUUAACUUUUUCUAUAUAUAAACAUAAAUUUAUGAAUAUUUGAUCCAUACAAAUGAUUAAAAGAUUAAAUUACCUUAGGGAUAACAGCGUUAUUUUUUUUUAGAGUUCAAAUCGAAAAAAAGGAUUGCGACCUCGAUGUUGGAUUAAAGUUAAUUUUAGGUGCAGAAGCUUAAAAAUUUGGUCUGUUCGACCAUUAAAACUUUACA